RNAcentral lists this ribosomal RNA (253 nucleotides) under uncultured bacterium. RNAcentral describes it as "partial 16S ribosomal RNA". It matches the Rfam family "Bacterial small subunit ribosomal RNA", at positions 524 to 776 of the family's 1533-position model. The record is from RNAcentral.
UACGUAGGUGGCGAGCGUUGUCCGGAUUUACUGGGCGUAAAGGGAGCGUAGGCGGAUUUUUAAGUGAGAUGUGAAAUACUCGGGCUCAACUUGAGUGCUGCAUUUCAAACUGGAAGUCUAGAGUGCAGGAGAGGAGAAUGGAAUUCCUAGUGUAGCGGUGAAAUGCGUAGAGAUUAGGAAGAAUACCAGUGGCGAAGGCGAUUCUCUGGACUGUAACUGACGCUGAGGCUCGAAAGCGUGGGGAGCAAACAGG